GACGAACGCUGGCGGCGUGCUUAACACAUGCAAGUCGAACGGAAAGGCCCUGCUUUUGUGGGGUGCUCGAGUGGCGAACGGGUGAGUAACACGUGAGUAACCUGCCCUUGACUUUGGGAUAACUUCAGGAAACUGGGGCUAAUACCGGAUAGGAGCUCCUGCUGCAUGGUGGGGGUUGGAAAGUCUCGGCGGUUGGGGAUGGACUCGCGGCUUAUCAGCUUGUUGGUGGGGUAGUGGCUUACCAAGGCUUUGACGGGUAGCCGGCCUGAGAGGGUGACCGGCCACAUUGGGACUGAGAUACGGCCCAGACUCCUACGGGAGGCAGCAGUGGGGAAUAUUGCACAAUGGGCGGAAGCCUGAUGCAGCAACGCCGCGUGCGGGAUGACGGCCUUCGGGUUGUAAACCGCUUUCGCCUGUGACGAAGCGUGAGUGACGGUAAUGGGUAAAGAAGCACCGGCUAACUACGUG
RNAcentral lists this ribosomal RNA (468 nucleotides) under uncultured bacterium. Its description in RNAcentral is "partial 16S ribosomal RNA". It matches the Rfam family "Bacterial small subunit ribosomal RNA", at positions 28 to 507 of the family's 1533-position model. The record is from RNAcentral.